Non-coding RNA from Macaca mulatta (Rhesus monkey), 1193 nucleotides. The record is from RefSeq and is a predicted model, not a curated record. Lineage: Eukaryota; Metazoa; Chordata; Mammalia; Primates; Cercopithecidae.
UCAGAAUCUGAAACUAAAAUUUAGUUUUAGCUGUAUUGUCACCUUGUUUUUUCUUUUCGGAGAUAUGUAGUUUAGGUCAGCUUAGUAAUAUCCAGAAUUUACACAUGUAAAAUUUAGCAGGAUUUUAAGAUAUACCGAUAUUCUCAAGAAAGUAUGAAAUAAAUGACAAAUUAAUGAAAAUUAAUGAUAAAAUAAUACUAACAAUAAUCAUGGAGAGCACUGAUCUUAUUUUCCUUGAAAUACCAAAGAAUUGGCACAAUGAUGGGACUUUUUUUAGAUUAAAUGAUCUAAAUAAUUGCUUCAGUCUUCCAUUAUGCUUUCCUAAACUAGAUUCUUAGGACUUUAUGAUAUGUGGUAGUUAAGAGUAUACAGAGGGGAAGAAAUCACAUCCAGUAAGUUGUUUGCUUAACAUACUUAUCAUAGUUCUCACUUAUAAGCUAAUUUAAGCAAUUUUUUAGGUAUACAUAUUCUAAGCUAAAUCUAACAUAGCUUUAUUUUCUGAUCUCAAAGAAGAUCUUAAUUCCACUGAAAUUAUUGUUAUCAAUAUCACUGUUUCAUAUGCUUGUUAAUAUUUAGAUAUUGUGAUACCUACAUACAUAUAUACAUACAUACAUAUUUGAUAAAAUAUAGCAAUAGAUAUACCUAGAAAUACAUCUACCUUUUUUAAUGAGGCUUUAGCUCAUGGCAACUUGAGCACAAAAAAAAGGAUGACUGUAGUAUCCAUAGUCGCAAUAUACAGGAGUAAUCCUACUUCAUUGAAGUACCUUUAUGAAAGGAUAGCAUUGUACUACAUUAAGGGUCAUAAAUUAUCAUGAUACUGAUGAAUGGAUUUGUUAGAGAAAAUAAGUAAAGUGGUAUUUAGUAUGUGAGAAUCAGUUAGCACUCAAAAUUUUAUUUUUUUCACUAACUUCUGUGAAACUUUCUAUUGUUUUCUUCUGGGAUUUGACUUCUCCAUUUGGCGAGCUGUCAUUUUGACAGGGGUUAACACCAAAGAUCAUCUUUCCGGAGGGCCAUUUUACUGGCAAGCUUGAAGACAGCUGUGGUGGGAUUUGCUUCACAUUAAACCCAGUUUAGAGGAGAAUGCAGAGUCCCCCAGGUGUGUAUCUCAAGAGCACUCCACAACAAAGAUUCUGCCUGCAAUCCUCCACUUCAAGCUGCAGAGUAUGCCAUGGUGUAUAUGUGCCACAUUUUCU